AAAUAAGAAAAAAAUAAUUAACAUUAAUUUCAAUUUUUAAGCAAGAAUUGAAAAAAAAUAUAUGCUAAAAUAUUUAAGGAAAAAUUUGUUUGGUAGAGAAUUUAACACAUAAAAGACAAUUUGGAGAGUUUUACUGCUGCUAUACAACAACAUGUAUCUUACUGUGAAACAGAUUGCAUGAACGAAGUGGAUGUGAAAAAAAUGCUAUUUGUACCACUGUCAUUGUUAACUAUACAUGUAUUAUAAAUUAAAUGCCAGGUUAAUAUUAAUCAAAUCAUAAUUUUUGUGUUUUAGAAAUAAUAUCACUUUCUAAAGCUAAACUUUCUAAACACUUGCAUCAUUGCCUAGUCGGUCAAUAAUUGCAUUUGGGAUAAAGGCCUAAAAUUAUGUCCUGAUAUUUACAUGUGCAGCUACCUUUGUUGCAAAUAGCAUUUACACUAUUAAUAAUGAGGGUGAAAAAAGCUACACCAUAAGCAAUGCAUCAGAAGCAGAACUCAGAUUAUAGACAUCAUGACCACUGAUAUAUGCUAUAAUAUUUUUUAACUUCCUACAGAAAUAGUGUAUUUCUGUGUCUCUCACUGUCUCUCAUAGCUGCUACCUUGCAGCUAGAACAUGAUACAAGGCAUGGGUUUCCAAAGGUUGCUUUAAAAAUUAACCAGCAAGUUGCAAUAAUUUCUAGUGAAAAGACAAAAUCUAACAUUAACUCUAAAUGAAUGCAUAAAAUUGACAAAUUAGAUUUGGCCAUUGUGAACUGAGACGCUUCAAUUAAAUACUUCCUCCUUAAUUUGCAUAAAUUUUUAUGCUGCAACAUGUUUUGGCAUAUUUUUCCCUCUUCUUUUCCUCUUGAUACAUUUCUUAUUGCCAAUGUAAAAUUUAUUUCCUUUUUCAGGUGGCAUAAGGAAGAGGGGAACUUGAAUGUGGAGAAGGGCAGUUCUGGCAAUAAGAUGAAAUGGGCAGAAAAAACUUUCUUUUAAUAAAUGUUCUACCAUAAAGGCAGAGUUAUUAAGAAAACAUAAUUUGGUCUUGUUAACCUCAGUUACCUGGACUGACCUGAUGGAACAGCAGACAACAUAAGUUGUAAGAUUUGCAUAAAUCACAAUGUUUCAAGUCAAGUCAGUUUUUGUUCUGCACCUCAUCCUAAU
This 1142-nucleotide long non-coding RNA is filed under the name Cyanistes caeruleus (blue tit). RNAcentral's name for it is "lncRNA (ENSCCEG00000009974.1)". The record is from RNAcentral. Lineage: Eukaryota; Metazoa; Chordata; Aves; Passeriformes; Paridae.